Molecule: ribosomal RNA, 602 nt
Filed under: uncultured bacterium
Lineage: Bacteria
Description: bacterial SSU rRNA
Rfam family: Bacterial small subunit ribosomal RNA
Source: RNAcentral
CAGUAACUGNCGCUGAGGAGCGAAAGCAUGGGGAGCGAACAGGAUUAGAUACCCUGGUAGUCCAUGCUGUAAACGGUGGGCGUUAGGUGUGGGGACCGGUUUGGUUUCUGUGCCGUAGCUAACGCAUUAAGCGCCCCGCCUGGGGAGUACGGCCGCAAGGCUAAAACUCAAAGGAAUUGACGGGGGCCCGCACAAGCGGCGGAGCAUGUGGAUUAAUUCGAUGCAACGCGAAGAACCUUACCUGGGUUUGACAUGCACCAGACGGUUGUAGAGAUACGUACCUCCCUUUGUGGUUGGUGUGCAGGUGGUGCAUGGUUGUCGUCAGCUCGUGUCGUGAGAUGUUGGGUUAAGUCCCGCAACGAGCGCAACCCUUGUCUUAUGUUGCCAGCACUUUGGGUGGGGACUCAUGAGAGACUGCCGGGGUUAACUCGGAGGAAGGUGGGGAUGACGUCAAAUCAUCAUGCCCUUUAUGCCCAGGGCUUCACACAUGCUACAAUGGUUAGUACAACGCGCGGCAAGCCUGUGAGGGUGAGCGAAUCGCUGAAAGCUAAUCUCAGUUCGGAUUGGGGUCUGCAACUCGACCCCAUGAAGUCGGAGUCGCU